CACAGCAAAACAGGACCUCUAGCCUAGGGAGUGAAGGGAGAUUGGGAAUAAGCAGGCAAAAUGUUCCGGAUUUUAUCCAACAAAGUGCAUCUUAUGCGUGAUAUGGGGACAGCAGGCAGAUUGUACCGUACAAGUGCAUCAGGGUAACAGAACAAUGUGCGGGAUACAGCAGGAAGAGGCAAAGAGAGAUUGUUGAAGCCUCUCAGAUUCACGACCACCUGAGAAACCUUGAGGCUCUCCAUACCAGCCUCAGAGGCUGCACCUUUCUGUCCAACGGCUGGACACUGUUCCAAUUCGGCAUGUCUCCAGAAAAACUGCUACACUUCCCCCAACCCCAAACUAAACUGGGCUGGGCUGUCAUAGCACUGCUGAGGCUGGGAACUUCUCUCUCUUACAGAACAGACUGCAGCGGCUCAAGAAGGCAGCUCACCACCAUCUUUUCCUGGGCAACUAGGGACGGGCAACAAAUGCUGGC
Long non-coding RNA from Stegostoma tigrinum, 475 nucleotides. RefSeq lists it as uncharacterized. NCBI's taxonomy places the organism in Eukaryota, Metazoa, Chordata, Chondrichthyes, Orectolobiformes, Stegostomatidae. The record is from RefSeq and is a predicted model, not a curated record. The transcript has 3 exons.